Molecule: ribosomal RNA, 480 nt
Filed under: uncultured bacterium
Lineage: Bacteria
Description: partial 16S ribosomal RNA
Rfam family: Bacterial small subunit ribosomal RNA
Source: RNAcentral
GACGAACGCUGGCGGCGUGCUUAACACAUUCAAGUCGAACGAUGAAGAAAAGAAUCGAAGCUUCGGCAGAAAUUCAUUUCGGAUUAGUGGCAGACGGGUGAGUAACGCGUGAGCAACCUACCUCUUACAAAGGGAUAGCCUCGGGAAACCGGGAUUACUACCAUAUAACAUUGCGACGAAGCAUUUCGAUGCAAUCAAAGCUACGGCGGUAAGAGAUGGGCUCGCGUCCCAUUAACCGGAUGGUGAGGUAACGGCUCACCAUAGUGACGAUGGGUAACCGGCCUGGGAGGGUGAACGGUCACACUGGAACUGAGACACGGUCCAGACUCCUACGAGAGGCAGCAGUGGGGAAUAUUGCACAAAGGAGGGAACUCUGAAGCAGCGACGCCGCGUGAGUGAUGAAGGAAUUCGUUACGUAAAACUCUGUUCUAUGGGAAGAAAGGGAGUGUACCAUAGUAGAAAGCUCCGGAUAAAUACGUG